GUUAAAAUCUUUUAAACACAAACAUUGGCUCAAAUUACUAUAUUUUUAACAUAUGUAUGCACAUCCCAGUUCAGCAUGAAAGAGUCAAAAGCAGACGUCACUGAGAUUAGUAAAAACCAUGUUUAAACAUCAUAUUUAGAUCAUACAUGGAGUACUGGAUGGCAUCGACAGCAGUAUUUGGAGGCAGGAACUCGUUAACAGCAACAUAAUUUAUUAUAUCGUAUAAUAAUGUACUGUAUUGGAUCAUACAUGGAGUACUGGAUGGCAUCGACAGCAGUAUUUGGAGGCAGGAACUCGUUAACAGCAACCUCCUUGUUCUCAAGCUUCUUAUCUAGUGACAGAUAAGAAAAUUAUACUUGUAAAAAGUUUAGUAGAAAAUUCAUAAGAGGAGCAAAUUAAAAGAUGGAGGGCA
RNAcentral lists this long non-coding RNA (412 nucleotides) under Nicotiana benthamiana. RNAcentral's name for it is "long non-coding RNA (NBEN_LNC036749)". The record is from RNAcentral. Lineage: Eukaryota; Viridiplantae; Streptophyta; Magnoliopsida; Solanales; Solanaceae.